UCCGUAGGCGGAUUGAUAAGUCAGAGGUGAAAUCCCACAGCUUAACUGUGGAACUGCCUUUGAAACUGUUAGUCUUGAGUUAUAUGGAAGUAGAUAGAAUGUGUAGUGUAGCGGUGAAAUGCAUAGAGAUUACACAGAAUACCGAUUGCGAAGGCAGUCUACUACGUAUAUACUGACGCUAAUGGACGAAAGCGUGGGGAGCGAACAGGAUUAGAUACCCUGGGAGUCC
RNAcentral lists this ribosomal RNA (229 nucleotides) under uncultured bacterium. RNAcentral's name for it is "partial 16S ribosomal RNA". It matches the Rfam family "Bacterial small subunit ribosomal RNA", at positions 568 to 796 of the family's 1533-position model. The record is from RNAcentral.